CUGCAGCUCGGCUGCAUGAAGCCGGAAUCGCUAGUAAUCGCGGAUCAGAACGCCGCGGUGAAUACGUUCCCGGGUCUUGUACACACCGCCCGUCACACCAUGGGAGUCGGGAACGCCCGAAGUCGGUGCCCCAACCUAACGGGAGGGAGCCGCCGAAGGCAGGCCCGGCGACUGGGGUGAAGUCGUAACAAGGUACC
Molecule: ribosomal RNA, 197 nt
Filed under: uncultured bacterium
Lineage: Bacteria
Description: partial 16S ribosomal RNA
Rfam family: Bacterial small subunit ribosomal RNA
Source: RNAcentral